Dreissena polymorpha is the source of this 5924-nucleotide long non-coding RNA. RefSeq lists it as uncharacterized. The record is from RefSeq and is a predicted model, not a curated record. The transcript is spliced from 4 exons. Lineage: Eukaryota; Metazoa; Mollusca; Bivalvia; Myida; Dreissenidae.
CAUAGUAGUUUGCAACAUUUCAUUUAAUUAAAUUGGAAUUCCUUAAAUCAGUUUCGUUAUAAGUUGUUUACUAAAUUGUGAAAGUAUGUUAUUUAUACCGUGGUGUUAAACUGUGCAAUACAUGUUCUUUCAAAACUCGAGUAUAAAACACAGUUUUGCACUAUAAACAGGAAAAAAACACCAAAGUAUUGAUCACGGAUUUAAACUUUGAUCUGCAAUAGUUAUACUCUGACAAAUAUGACAAAUAUGAACAACACAUGAUUUUACUGAUUGGACUAAAACACACAUUCAUGUAUGGUCACAAGUGUUCCUCGCGCUACACAUGACGAAUGUUAAUUUCCUGAAAUAAUUGUACACUUGUAGAUGGAAAUUUAGAUACUUAAUAUGUUUCAUUUUAGAUUUCAACAAAGUUUACAUAUAUAUUUUCCAGGAGCUAUUAGUUAAAGUCAUAUUAGAUUUACGGACACGAAAAACAAUUCGUUGGUUGUGCAAUCAGGGCAAAUCUACAAUUGAUCAGAUGUAUGCUACUAUGAAACCUGGAUGUGAGGAAUUGGUGGUCUUUUUUCUAACCGCUUGUUGUUUACAAACUGUCGUUUCGGUCAAGUUGGAAUCUUUCUCAGAACUUAUUCAUGGUCAGCCUGUCAACAUAACGUGUUUUGUCGAUGGUAGUUUCCAAUUUAAUUUUACUAAUUGGAGUCAAGACACGAUAAAUAUUGGUGGAUGUGCAUCUCCCCCAACUAGGAAUUGUUUUAUGUCAUAUUUACCUAUGAAGAUGCUUUACAACAUAACGUCUACAUCCGAUGGUGGUAUUUUGACGAUAUUCAAAUGGAAUAUGGACCAUUAUGGCACAUAUAAGUGCUUCGACACAUUUCACCCAGAAAAAACUUCUAGAAUAAUUCUACCAAGAGAAACAGGCGGAAGCUAUUCUUACACCAUCUGUAAAUCUUUACUAUUGAUGUGCCUUUUAGCUCAUCGGAGCACAACUUGGUGGAAGUGAUCACCUGCGGUUCAUAAAUGUGUGCGAAUCACACUGGCUGUCAGUUUGAACAUACAGUACAGCUCACGCAAAACCAACAAAGUCUUCUGUUAACGUAUUUUCGCCGCGUAUUUACUCGGCAUGAUGCCGAGGCACUCGGCGAAAUUUCGCGGAGUGACGCCGCGUCUGUUGAUUCGCGGAGUAACGCCGCGUAGAUGCGGCGAUUCGCCGAGUAUAACUAUUUACAAAUAUUGAUUGUAUACUAAUCUAUAACACAUGUUAUCGAAAUAUACAAACAUACACAGAAAAUACGCUGUGCGAUUGUUAACAUUUCUCUAUAUCUGCAUUCAUUUAAUUAAAUUAUCAAUCGGAUGUCAUCUGUCAAAACAAUUAUUGCGUAUGUCGAUAACUAGAUCUAUAUUGAGUUAAAGUUUAGACAGUUAAAUCCCGUAGAUUAUUUCGGAAACGAGACUUGCUUUAAACGUCUGUCAUGUCGCCAAAAUUGUUGCUCAAUAAUUUAAAGAAAAUAAAUUUAGUAUUAGAUACACAUUUUACAACAUGUACAUGAUUCUAGGCUUGUUAUUCUUUAGCAAGGCAACCACAAUUCUAAAGAUGGCUGCCAGUGCAGCAACCAUCUGCGAAAAAAGAGAGACAUAUUGUUGUUGCUUUGUCUAAUUAUCUCUAUAACAUUAAUAUGAGGAUAAACAGUGCACCCACAUCUCAACCUGUGCUUUGCGACACACUCUUUAUAAAUUUGAAUGGGUUGUGUGCAUUUCAAACUUGCGGUAUAAAAAGCUAUAACAUAAUUUUGAAAACUAAGAUUAUGCAAUAGCGAACAACUUCAGUGCCUUCAGCGAUUUGAUAUAAUGUUUUAUUUGACCGUACGAUUAUUAAACCUUUAACAUAACAUAUUUUUAUAAAUCUUAAACUUGUAAAAAUUCCAAAGUAUGUAUGUUAUGUUCAAAUACCCGUUAUAAUAUAAAAAUGAAGCUUGCACUCUGGUAUAUAUUAUUGGGAAGCAUUGGCCAUGGCAUGUAUUACUAGUAUGUAUUUUUCUAUUGUUGAAGAUCGUGUACCUUAAACAUGAUGAACGGGAGGGCUUGUGCGCUUGAUAUUUCGUUUAUGUUAAUACACCCAAUAUUUAUAAGACCCAUGGCGAACGCCUCAUAAGUUUAAAUUGUACUUGUGAAAUCUGAUACGGCUUUAGAAAAUCCCGGUCUGUUGCAAUCGAUACCCCUGCAAAGCUUGUUUUUGUAUAUGAUAAAAUAGGUUUGCAAGUACGUCCUUUAAUUUUUGGGCUUGCUGUUUUAAGAUUUUGUGAAAUGGGAAGAACAUAUUUGCAAUGCCAAUUAUUUUCAAUGAAUAACUUAAGUCGGGCAGACAUAGCUGAUAUCUUAUUAACUACUUUUAUGUAUAAAACUUCCGUGUGUAACGCAAAUGCUUGAUAUAUAUUUGUUAUUCCAAUUUUCGGAACUGGACAUACCGAUCGUUAAACUGAUACUAGAUUUGCACACUCUUAAAUAAAGAAAAGAAAAUUCCCCUACAAGCUGGCCAUUAUUUACGUUAUUGAUAAUACACUUAAAGUUUUUAGAUGUGUAUUUAUAUUCUUUUCCUACGAGACAUGGUUUACUGGGAUAUACACGUAAUAGGAUGAGUUAUUUUAUUAAGUGCGAUCAGUUAUCAUUUUCUGUUUGAAACAAGCAUCAUAAAAUCGAUUAAUUGUAUAAUAGAAACACAUAACAUAUUUUUAUUAUAUAUAUUUAUGGUUUUGAAUUCAUGUUGCAUUUUAUUUUGUUUGUUUUUUUAAUAAAAAAAGUGUAUAUCCUAUGUACUGAAAAUGACAUUAAGUCUCGUCUUAUUAUCUACCAUGUUGUACUUUAUAUAAUCGUCUUUUCCAUAAACUCAUUAUAAGUAUUAUGGAUAUGUGAAUAAUAAAGCACAAAAAUAUAGUACCACAUAUAAAUGGGGGACUAGUGCCGCACCUUCAUAUAUUGGCAAUACACCCCAUUCGUUUUCUGAUUUCAUUCAAAAGUGUAAGCUCCCUUUAACAGGCCUACUUUUAUUCCCGCAUCAUAUUACAAGCUUAAUGUUUACAGCACACAGCGGUAACAUGUUACGAAACUGCAACUAAAUUGCAUGUUAAACCCUCUUAAAAAUGCAAUAAUUUAUGUCAAGGCCUCAAUUUCAUUGUGGAAAAGUAUACCGUACUUAAGCAUGGCCUACGUGCAUGUUAGCGCUGAAAACAUGACAGUGCGCCGUUAGUUUUCAAACAAACAUUUGAAUACGUAUUGUAUCUUUGCAAUCUGAUACAACGCCCGGGAAUGGCGGUCUGAUAAAAUCAAUAUCCCAGCCAAGCCUGCUCUACAUUUAUAUAUUUUGCAUACCAGCAGGCUGAAUAUAGUUUCUUAAUUGUCCAUGACAACAGGAAGAUUAAUAUCGAAUGUGUAGAAUUUCCAACGACUAACCAAGAGAGUAUUAACACUUAAGAACAAUUAAACAAGUGCAUGCCAUGGUGGUCUGAUGUGUCAUUAUGCAAGGAUAUUUAAUACGUGUUUCUUUCGAUCAUAUUAUUUUCCUGCCAUUGUAAAUGUUUUGCAAUAUGCAUUGUAUUAUACAUCAAGCCUUUUCAGACAACUAUUUGUAUGAUCAAGAAUAAGGAACAUUCAUGAACAACACGCUUUACAUUGUAGUUAGGAGCUUUAAUCCUGUUACUUGCAAACGCCUAUGCGCCAUAGUGUGGUUUUCAGUAGUUAUGUGAAUCACAUUAUAUUACAUGUUAACUUGUUAAACAGCCAUUGUAUUUAAGUAGGUCAUGGUUGUAUUGAUUGCUGAAUAUUUGUUUGGAGAGGCUUCUUAAGUUACAGGCGCGAUUAUGUAAAUUGAUUAUUUAAGUCUAAAAUAGUGUUCAGGUGAUCAUUUUCGUCGUCAUUUUAAAGCUUUUUGGUAAUGCGAUCAUUUUAAGUGUGGCGGUUAGAGCAGGUAUAAAUACCAAAUGUUUCAAUGCAUAUUUUGCCAAAAAUCAUGAUAAAGGUUUACCACUGAAAACUUCACGUAUCAUUGCCUUAGAUACGUAUAUGUAAGGCAAACGUAUAAUGGUGUUACGAUUACAACCUUUUGGUAAUUCAUGACACGCAAGGAAUUUUGUAAGAAUAAUGUAAUGACAUUGUUCUUAUUUUCUUAACGUAAUGUUCAACACAUGAAUUUGCGGGGUACAGAAUUCGCGCUAUUUCGAUUGCCAAUGUGCUCCUGCGAGUAACUCGCAGUCUGUUCAGGUUUAAUGUUGUUAGCUGCUCAUCAGUAUAUAAUGUUUGUAGAUGAAGGAUUAAGAACUUGAAUCGAGUAAGAAAGGUCUUAAAUUAAAUAUAACUUUCCAAGGGACUACAAAUGCGUGAAAAUACGUAUCUAAGUGGUAAAGGGUUAAAUUGAAGCCUAUUAUGCUUGUUCGAUGUACAUGUAUACACGUCAGUUUUAAUGUUUAGCGGUCCACUUCUACAUCUAUGUUCAAAUGCGGUCGUGAUAUUGAACAUAAUCAGCAUCAUCAUCAUCAUCAGCAGCAGCAGCAUCGGCGGCGGUGGCGGGGCGGCGGCGGCGUCGUGGUCGUCGUCGUCAUUUUCAUCACCAUCAUCAUUUGCAUAUGAUACUUCACGUGUCUGAUUAGCUGAAAUACAAUAAUGUUCUGUGAACAGCAGUAUUUGGCAUACGUAUGUGUUUUUUAUGCCCCCCCCCCCCGAAGAGUGGCAUGAAGUUUUUGAACUGUCCGUCAAGCCGUCCGUCUGUCUGUCUGUCUGUCCGUCAGUCCGUCCGUCCGUCCGUCCGAACACUUUAUCAUUGGUCAUAACUUUUGCAAUAUUGAAGAUAGAAACUUGAUAUUUGGCAUGCAUGUGUAUCUCAUGGAGCUGCACAUUUUGUGUGGUCAAAGGUCAAGGUCAUCCUUCAAGGUCAAAUAUCAAAUAUAUGGCUUCAAAGCGGCGCAGAAGGGGGCAUUGUGUUUCUGACAAACACCUCUCUUGUUAGUUGUUCGCUUGCGAACAAUUAAGGUUAAGAGCUAGUUUUGCAAGUCGGUCUGCUCUUAACUACCCUAAGAACGAUGACCACCGCAUCUGCUUGUGCACACUGAUUAGCCUGUUUAUGCUUCACCACUGGUACACUGCAGACAGUGAGUGUGUGUAUGUAAUCAAUAGUGUUUAACAGCCUCUGCGACGACAUUGGCCAGUUUGUCAUUGAAAUCUGUACAUAUUGGCUGCGUUCAGGGAAAACGGGGCCUUAUGUAUGUCCAAUAAGUGGUGUCCUGUGCACACUGAUUAGCCAGUGCAGUUCGCACAAGCUAAUCAAGGACGACACUUUUUUAUUCUAUGGUGUUUUUCGUUUAGAGACAGUCUCUGGUACUGGUUUGACAAUUUAUGCAUAUGCAUUAAGCCCUGUUUUCCCAAGAAGCUGCAGUCAGUAUACAAUGCACUAAUUGUUUCAGUAAUGAAGGAAUUGAAACAGCGUAACGGUAGCGAUACAGUGUGUUUAAAUUAUAUUUUAUUAAGAGGAAUUGUCCGAACGUAGUUAAUCUACAUUUAAUAAACAUCAUGAUUUCGGAACUUGUAACCAGUUUCUAUCCCAGGUAAAUUAUAGUUUAUAAGAUUGUUCGCCGAGUGACUCAGCGUCAUAUCACCAACAAUUUCCUCGGCAUCAUGCCGAGGCGUGCCGCGGCGUGUCUCGGCGAACAGACACGGCGACUCGGCGACGAGAUGGUCGAUGCCGAGUCGACUCCGCGAAUAAUUGAUGUCGUCAAACUCCGCGGAUCGCGGAAUUUGUUGGUUUUGCGUGAGCUGUACUGUAAAGGCUGUCAAACAUUAUUCAGCAUUAAUUUUAUCCCCUCCGAUCUUGUUAAUUUGAGUCUAUAAACAACUCUUCUUUGUAUACACGUUUUACAAACCGGCAUAAACAAGUCAAACACCUA